Molecule: ribosomal RNA, 253 nt
Filed under: uncultured bacterium
Lineage: Bacteria
Description: partial 16S ribosomal RNA
Rfam family: Bacterial small subunit ribosomal RNA
Source: RNAcentral
UACAGAGGGUGCAAGCGUUAAUCGGAAUUACUGGGCGUAAAGCGCACGUAGGCGGUUUUUUAAGUCAGAUGUGAAAGCCCCGGGCUCAACCUGGGAAUUGCAUUUGAAACUGGAAAACUAGAGUGUGUGAGAGGGUGGUGGAAUUUCCUGUGUAGCGGUGAAAUGCGUAGAUAUAGGAAGGAACACCAGUGGCGAAGGCGACCACCUGGGCUAAUACUGACACUGAGGUGCGAAAGCGUGGGGAGCAAACAGG